GGGACACUUCUCGUCCCCAUCUUCCCGAGAGUCCAGGCACAUGCCCAGAAGAGGAAAGUUUUGGGAACCCCUGACCACACUCACUGCCUGUUCCUGCAGGUGGUGGGCAGCAUGGACGCCCACCCCAAUCGCUACUGCGCCACCGUGCGCGUGCAGCAGCACCGGCAGGAGAUCAUACAAGACCUGGCCGCCAUGGUCCGCGAGCUCCUCAUCCAGUUCUAUAAGUCCACGCGCUUCAAGCCUACCCGCAUCAUCUUCUACCGCGACGGCGUCUCUGAAGGCCAGUUCCAGCAGGUUCUCCACCACGAGUUGCUGGCCAUCCGUGAGGCCUGUAUCAAGCUGGAAAAAGACUACCAGCCCGGGAUCACCUUCAUCGUGGUGCAGAAGAGGCACCACACCCGGCUCUUCUGCACUGACAAGAACGAGCGGGUUGGGAAAAGUGGAAACAUUCCAGCAGGCACGACUGUGGACACGAAAAUCACCCACCCCACCGAGUUCGACUUCUACCUGUGUAGUCACGCUGGCAUCCAGGGGACAAGCAGGCCUUCGCACUAUCAUGUCCUCUGGGACGACAAUCGUUUCUCCUCUGAUGAGCUGCAGAUCCUAACCUACCA
RNAcentral lists this small RNA (614 nucleotides) under Pongo abelii (Sumatran orangutan). RNAcentral describes it as "retained intron". The record is from RNAcentral. Lineage: Eukaryota; Metazoa; Chordata; Mammalia; Primates; Hominidae.